This 207-nucleotide ribosomal RNA is filed under the name uncultured bacterium. RNAcentral's name for it is "partial 16S ribosomal RNA". It matches the Rfam family "Bacterial small subunit ribosomal RNA", at positions 568 to 774 of the family's 1533-position model. The record is from RNAcentral.
CGCGUAGGCGGGCCACUCAGUCCGGGGUGAAAUCUUUCGGCUUAACCGGAAACGUGCCUUGGAGACGGGUGGUCUGGAGGGAGAUAGGGGCAGGUGGAACUUCCGGUGGAGCGGUGAAAUGCGUUGAUAUCGGAAGGAACGCCGGUGGCGAAAGCGACCUGCUGGAUCUCUACUGACGCUGAGGCGCGAAAGCCAGGGGAGCGAACG